GUUGCAGCCAAGUCUAACUGCCACAAUACAUUGUGUUUCUUUAGCUACAUAAUCUCCCAAAUUUCAGUUCCAAAACAAAUGUUGUCUUCUGAUUUCUAUCCCCUAGACAGUCUCAUCUGCAGUGCUCCGUUCUUGUCCAACAGAUGCUGGGUGUAGAUCUCCUGCUUUGGCUAUGUUUAAAUACGAACAAGCCUACACUACUACUUUCAGAAUAUUUCAGACUUCCUGAAGGCACAGUAAAAGAUGGAACACGAGAUUAUGACAAACUCUCUUCUGGGAUCUAUGUAGUGGGGCUUGACUUUGAUCUUCCGUUUCUCCUGCCCUUGGAGACCAAAGGCAUUUUUGCAUAUGGCAAAUGAAGGGAAUUGUGGGGCUCAGAACUGCUGUGCUGAUCAGAGAGUUCUCUGAAAGGUCUGUGUUCUGAGUUAUUGAAACAUUAAAGAGCAUGGUGUAGGCUGUCUGGAGCUUGUAGUGGAUGUGUCUUUGUGUCCUGGC
This 495-nucleotide long non-coding RNA is filed under the name Calidris pygmaea (Spoon-billed sandpiper). Its description in RNAcentral is "lncRNA (ENSCPGG00000009477.1)". The record is from RNAcentral. Lineage: Eukaryota; Metazoa; Chordata; Aves; Charadriiformes; Scolopacidae.